RNAcentral lists this ribosomal RNA (497 nucleotides) under uncultured bacterium. RNAcentral's name for it is "partial 16S ribosomal RNA". It matches the Rfam family "Bacterial small subunit ribosomal RNA", at positions 28 to 507 of the family's 1533-position model. The record is from RNAcentral.
GAUGAACGCUGGCGGCGUGCCUAAUACAUGCAAGUCGGGCGAACAGAUGAGGAGCUUGCUCCUCUGACGUUAGCGGCGGACGGGUGAGUAACACGUGGAUAACCUACCUAUAAGACUGGGAUAAAUUCGGGAAACCGGAGCUAAUACCGGAUAAUAUAUUGAACCGCAUGGUUCAAUAGUGAAAGACGGUUUUGCUGUCACUUAUAGAUGGAUCCGCGCCGCAUUAGCUAGUUGGUAAGGUAACGGCUUACCAAGGCAACGAUGCGUAGCCGACCUGAGAGGGUGAUCGGCCACACUGGAACUGAGACACGGUCCAGACUCCUACGGGAGGCAGCAGUAGGGAAUCUUCCGCAAUGGGCGAAAGCCUGACGGAGCAACGCCGCGUGAGUGAUGAAGGUCUUCGGAUCGUAAAACUCUGUUAUUAGGGAAGAACAAAUGUGUAAGUAACUAUGCACGUCUUGACGGUACCUAAUCAGAAAGCCACGGCUAACUACGUG